Long non-coding RNA from Sapajus apella (tufted capuchin), 782 nucleotides. RefSeq lists it as uncharacterized. The transcript has 3 exons. The record is from RefSeq and is a predicted model, not a curated record. NCBI's taxonomy places the organism in Eukaryota, Metazoa, Chordata, Mammalia, Primates, Cebidae.
AAAAAACCCUUUUAUAUAUCCUACUUGUUCUGUCUCUCUGGAUAACCCUGAAUAAUACUCCCAGGAACUAAGCAUCUCGUCCAAGGUCACAAUUACAGGCAGGCAUUUGUGGGGAACGCUCCCAUGUGAAGCCCCCCCAGUGUUGGGCCUCGCUGUGCGUGAGCUUGAUCCCGGACACAGUUUCCUGCUGGAGGCAGUCGAGCUAUGGGGAAGUAGGAACGGAAAGAAUAAGAAUAAUGUCAGCCUCUAUUUCUGACUACAGUGACCCUGGGUAAUGGAUGUGUGUGCUCUUUCGGUUCCUGUUGAGGAGUGGGUUUUAUGACUCUGUUUACCAAGUUAAGUAUAGCCUUUUGAGGACCAGAUGACAUUCCUAUACUCAGAUAAAGGUUUAUGGCUUAGCCUGUGACAUUUCUAGAUUGUUAUCCUUGUGACCACAUGUUCUGUUGACAAUGAUAAAGUACAUCACCUGCUUACCUUUUAUGACCCGUGAUUAUGUACCCCCUCUGCUGACAUUUGCUUUUUGCAACUUUCUGUGCUUUUUGCAACUUUCUGUUCCCCUUAUUGUAUAGCUUACAUAAUGUGCACUGACGUCAAUCCUUAUAAUCUAAAGGUAUAUAUUGGAACCCUGGACACAAAUAAACUUGCUGCAUAGGCAUUGCCUAUUCAGUCCUCCAGACCCCAGCUUUCUGUCUCUCUUUAAUUCUGCGCACCCCCUCUUCCAGGCUGGGACCCUCUCGCUGGCCGAGACUCCCCGGCGGGCUCCCUCAGUUCAAAACAAAACU